CCUACGGGAGGCAGCAGUGGGGGAUAUUGCACAAUGGAGGGAACUCUGAUGCAGCGACGCCGCGUGAGGGAAGAAGGUUUUCGGAUUGUAAACCUCUGUCUUCGGUGACGCAACGAGGCGGUAGCCGCGGAGGAAGCCACGGCUAACUACGGGCCAGAAGCUGCGGUACUACGUAGGUGGCAAGCGUUGUCCGGAAUUACUGGGGUUAAAGGGAGCGUAGGCGGGAAAGCAAGUUGAAGGUUUAAGGUACGGGCUCAACCUGUACAAGCGUUCAAAACUGUUUUUCUUGAGUGGAGGAGAGGUAAGCGGAAUGCCUAGUGUAGCGGUGAAAUGCGUAAAUAUUAGGAGGAACACCAGUGGCGAAGGCGGCUUACUGGGCUUUAACUGACGCUGAGGCUCGAAAGCGUGGGUAGCAAACAGGAUUAGAUACCCUGGUAGUC
Molecule: ribosomal RNA, 440 nt
Filed under: uncultured bacterium
Lineage: Bacteria
Description: partial 16S ribosomal RNA
Rfam family: Bacterial small subunit ribosomal RNA
Source: RNAcentral